UACGUAGGAGACGAGCGUUGUCCGGAGUUACUGGGCGUAAAGGGCGCGCAGGCGGCCGCCCGCGUGUGUGGUGAAAGCUCCUGGCUUAACUAGGAGAGGUCCAUGCAGACGGGGUGGCUUGAGCGUCGGAGAGGGGCAUGGAAUUCCGGGUGGAGCGGUGAAAUGCGUAGAGAUCCGGAGGAACACCAAUGGCGAAGGCAGUGCCCUGGCCGACGGCUGACGCUCAGGCGCGAAAGCGUGGGGAGCAAACAGG
Molecule: ribosomal RNA, 253 nt
Filed under: uncultured bacterium
Lineage: Bacteria
Description: partial 16S ribosomal RNA
Rfam family: Bacterial small subunit ribosomal RNA
Source: RNAcentral